UUUGGNAAUGGGGGAACNUUCCAUCCAGCCAUCCCGCGUGUAUGUUNCCCGCCUUCGGGUUGUAAAGUACUUUUGGCAGAGAAGAAAAGGUAUCNCCUAAUNCGGGAUACUGCUGACGGUAUCUGCAGAAUAAGCACCGGCUAACUACGUGCCAGCAGCCGCGGUAAUACGUAGGGUGCAAGCGUUAAUCGGAAUUACUGGGCGUAAAGCGUGUGUAGGCGGUUCGGAAAGAAAGAUGUGAAAUCCCAGGGCUCAACCUUGGAACUGCAUUUUUAACUGCCGAGCUAGAGUAUGUCAGAGGGGGGUAGAAUUCCACGUGUAGCAGUGAAAUGCGUAGAUAUGUGGAGGAAUACCGAUGGCGAAGGCAGCCCCCCUGGGGAUAAUACUGACGCUCAGACACGAAAGCGUGGGGGAGCAAAACAGGAUUAGAUACCCUGGUAGUCCCACGNCCCUAAACGAUGUCAACCUANCCUGUUGGGGCCGUU
RNAcentral lists this ribosomal RNA (485 nucleotides) under Alcaligenes aquatilis. Its description in RNAcentral is "bacterial SSU rRNA". It matches the Rfam family "Bacterial small subunit ribosomal RNA", at positions 364 to 835 of the family's 1533-position model. Lineage: Bacteria; Pseudomonadati; Pseudomonadota; Betaproteobacteria; Burkholderiales; Alcaligenaceae. The record is from RNAcentral.